RNAcentral lists this ribosomal RNA (371 nucleotides) under uncultured organism. RNAcentral's name for it is "partial 16S ribosomal RNA". It matches the Rfam family "Bacterial small subunit ribosomal RNA", at positions 527 to 896 of the family's 1533-position model. The record is from RNAcentral.
GUAGGUGGCAAGCGUUGUCCGGAAUUAUUGGGCGUAAAGCGCGCGCAGGCGGUUCUUUAAGUCUGAUGUGAAAGCCCACGGCUCAACCGUGGAGGGUCAUUGGAAACUGGAGAACUUGAGUACAGAAGAGGAAAGCGGAAUUCCACGUGUAGCGGUGAAAUGCGUAGAGAUGUGGAGGAACACCAGUGGCGAAGGCGGCUUUCUGGUCUGUAACUGACGCUGAGGCGCGAAAGCGUGGGGAGCAAACAAGAUUAGAUACCCUGGUAGUCCACGCCGUAAACGAUGAGUGCUAAGUGUUAGGGGGUUUCCGCCCCCUUAGUGCUGCAGCUAACGCAUUAAGCACUCCGCCUGGGGAUACGGCCGCAAGGCUG